This 263-nucleotide ribosomal RNA is filed under the name uncultured bacterium. RNAcentral's name for it is "partial 16S ribosomal RNA". It matches the Rfam family "Bacterial small subunit ribosomal RNA", at positions 793 to 1055 of the family's 1533-position model. The record is from RNAcentral.
GUCCUAGCUGUAAACGAUGUACACUUGGUGUAGUUGGAAUUAACCCAGACUGUGCCGAAGCUAACGUGAUAAGUGUACCGCCUGGGGAGUACGCUCGCAAGAGUAAAACUCAAAAGAAUUGACGGGGACCCGCACAAGCAGUGGAGCAUGUGGUUUAAUUCGAUGCAACGCGAAGAACCUUACCUAGGCUUGACAUGUAGAGGACGGAUGCAGAGAUGUAUCUUCCCUUCGGGGCUUCUACACAGGUGCUGCAUGGCUGUCGU